RNAcentral lists this ribosomal RNA (460 nucleotides) under uncultured bacterium. Its description in RNAcentral is "partial 16S ribosomal RNA". It matches the Rfam family "Bacterial small subunit ribosomal RNA", at positions 338 to 795 of the family's 1533-position model. The record is from RNAcentral.
CCUACGGGUGACAGCAGUGAGGAAUAUUGGUCAAUGGACGAGAGUCUGAUCCAGCCAAGUAGCGUGAAGGAUGACUGCCCUAUGGGUUGUAAACUUCUUUUAUAAAGGAAUAAAACGAGGCACGUGUGCCUUUUUGCAUGUACUUUAUGAAUAAGGAUCGGCUAACUCCGUGCCUGCAGCCGCGGUAAUACGGAGGGUCCGAGCGUUAUCCGGAUUUAUUGGGUUUAAAGGGCGCGUAGAUUGGUUGGUAAGUCCGUUGUGAAAGUUUGCGGCUCAACCGUAGAAUUGCAAUUGAUACUGGCAGACUUGAGUACAGGUGAGGUAGGCGGAAUUCGUGGUGUAGCAGUGAAAUGCUUAGAUAUCACGAAGAACCCUGAUGGCGAAGGCAGGUUACUAAACUGUGACUGACAUUGAGGCACGAAAGUGUGGGUAUCAAACAGGAUUAGAUACCCGAGUAGUC